This 532-nucleotide ribosomal RNA is filed under the name Aureobasidium iranianum. RNAcentral describes it as "partial large subunit ribosomal RNA". It matches the Rfam family "Eukaryotic large subunit ribosomal RNA", at positions 141 to 685 of the family's 3401-position model. Lineage: Eukaryota; Fungi; Ascomycota; Dothideomycetes; Dothideales; Saccotheciaceae. The record is from RNAcentral.
CAUUGUAAUUUGUAGAGGAUGCUUUGGGGCAGCCGCCUGUCUAAGUUCCUUGGAACAGGACGUCAUAGAGGGUGAGAAUCCCGUAUGUGACAGGACAUGGCACCCUAUGUAAAGCUCCUUCGACGAGUCGAGUUGUUUGGGAAUGCAGCUCUAAAUGGGAGGUAAAUUUCUUCUAAAGCUAAAUACCGGCGAGAGACCGAUAGCGCACAAGUAGAGUGAUCGAAAGAUGAAAAGCACUUUGGAAAGAGAGUUAAAAAGCACGUGAAAUUGUUGAAAGGGAAGCGCUUGCAAUCAGACUUGUUUAAACUGUUCGGCCGGUCUUCUGACCGGUUUACUCAGUUUGGACAGGCCAGCAUCAGUUUCGGCGGCCGGAUAAAGGCCCUAGGAAUGUGACCCCCUCUUCGGAGGGGGUGUUAUAGCCUGGGGUGUAAUACGGCCAGCCGGGACUGAGGUCCGCGCUUCGGCUAGGAUGCUGGCGUAAUGGUUGUAAGCGACCCGUCUUGAAACACGGACCAAGGAGUCUAACAUCUAU